This 396-nucleotide ribosomal RNA is filed under the name uncultured bacterium. Its description in RNAcentral is "partial 16S ribosomal RNA". It matches the Rfam family "Bacterial small subunit ribosomal RNA", at positions 523 to 918 of the family's 1533-position model. The record is from RNAcentral.
AUACGUAGGGAGCGAGCGUUGUCCGGAUUUACUGGGUGUAAAGGGUGCGUAGGCCGGACUGCAAGUCAGGCGUGAAAUACCGGGGCUUAACUCCGGGGCUGCGCUUGAAACUGUGGUUCUUGAGUGAAGUAGAGGCAGGCGGAAUUCCUAGUGUAGCGGUGAAAUGCGUAGAUAUUAGGAGGAACACCAGUGGCGAAGGCGGCCUGCUGGGCUUUAACUGACGCUGAGGCACGAAAGCAUGGGGAGCAAACAGGAUUAGAUACCCGGGUAGUCCAUGCCGUAAACGAUGAUUGCUAGGUGUGGGGGGACUGACCCCUUCCGUGCCGGAGUUAACACAAUAAGCAAUCCAGCUGGGGAGUACGACCGCAAGGUUGAAACUCAAAGGAAUUGACGGGG